Molecule: ribosomal RNA, 468 nt
Filed under: uncultured bacterium
Lineage: Bacteria
Description: partial 16S ribosomal RNA
Rfam family: Bacterial small subunit ribosomal RNA
Source: RNAcentral
GACGAACGCUGGCGGCGUGCUUAACACAUGCAAGUCGAACGGAAAGGCCCUGCUUUUGUGGGGUGCUCGAGUGGCGAACGGGUGAGUAACACGUGAGUAACCUGCCCUUGACUUUGGGAUAACUUCAGGAAACUGGGGCUAAUACCGGAUAGGAGCUCCUGCUGCAUGGUGGGGGUUGGAAAGUUUCGGCGGUUGGGGAUGGACUCGCGGCUUAUCAGCUUGUUGGUGGGGUAGUGGCUUACCAAGGCUUUGACGGGUAGCCGGCCUGAGAGGGUGACCGGCCACAUUGGUACUGAGAUACGGCCCAGACUCCUACGGUAGGCAGCAGUGGGGAAUAUUGCACAAUGGGCGGAAGCCUGAUGCAGCAACGCCGCGUGCGGGAUGCCGGCCUUCGGGUUGUAAACCGCUUUCGCCUGUGACGAAGCGUGAGUGACGGUAAUGGGUAAAGAAGCACCGGCUAACUACGUG